AGGACCAGAUGGAAAGAAACUGGGCAAGCCAAUGAAAGUCUCUGGGGAUCAUGGGAAUUGAGUGUCUAUGAAAACCAUAUUCCAGACAAGAAUAUAGUCUAAGGUUGAGAGAGGGGAGGAAGCUGCAGAAGGAAAGCUGGAAGCUAGCAGAGGUUGGUUCAUGGGGUUGAAGGAAAGAAGCCAUCUUCAUAACAUAAAAGUGCCAGGUGAAGCAGCAAGUGCUGAUGUAGAAGCUACAGCAAGUUAUCCAGAAGAUCUAGCUGACAUCAUUGAUGCAGGUGACUACAUAAACAACAAAUUUUCAGUGUAGACGAAACAGCCAUCUAUUGGAAGAAGUUGUCAUCUAAGACUUUCGCAGCUAGAGAAGAGAAGUCAAUGGCUAGCUUCAAAGUUUCCAAGGACAGACUGACUCUCUUGUUAUGGGCUAAUGUAGCUGGUGACAUUAAGUGUAAGUCAAUGUUCAUUUACCAUUCCGAAAAUUCUAGGGCCCUUUAUAACUGUGCUAAAUCUAUUCUGCCUGUGCUCUAUCAAUGGAACAAUAAAGUCUGGAUGAUAGCAUGUCUGUUUACAACAUAGGUUACUGAAUAUUUUAAGCCCACUCUUGAGAACUACUGCUCAGGAAAAAGGAUUUUCAGAAUAUUAUUGCUCAUUGACAAUGCACCUGUCACCCAAGAGCUCUGAUGGAGAAGUACAGGGGAUUAACAUUGUUUUCAUGCCUGCUAACACAUCAUUCUGUAGUCCAUGGAUCAAGGAGUCAUUUUGACUUUCAAGUCUUAUUAUAUAAGAGAUACUGUUUGUAAGGCUAUAGCUGUUACAGACACUGAUUCCUCUGAUGGAUCUGGGCAAAGUAAAUUGAUAACCUUCUGGAAAUAAAUCACCAUUCCAGAUACCAUUAAGAACAUUCAUUAUUCAUUGGGUGGUGGUCAAAAUAUCAACAUUAACAAGAGUUUGAAAGAAGUUGAUUCCAACCCUCAUGGGCGACUUUGCGGGGUUCAAGAUUUCAGUCAAGGAAAUAACUGCAGAUGUGGUGGAAAUACCAAGAGAGAAUUCAAGAUGUGACUGAACUGCUGCAACCUAAUGAUAAAACUUAUUUUUUUUUUUUUUGAGACAGGGUCUUGCUUUGUCAUCCAGGCUGGAAUGCUGUGGCACAAACAUGACUCACUGCAGACUCAUCAACCUCCCCAGCUCAAGUGAUCCUCCCACCUCAGCCCCACAAGUAGCUGGGACUACAUGCACAUGCCAUCAUGCCCAUCUAGUCUUUGUAUUUUUUGUAGAGACAGGGUUUUGUCAUGUUGUCCAGGCUGAUCUUGAACUCCUGAGCUCAAGUGGUCCAUAUACCUUGGCUUCCCAAAGUGCUGGGAUUAUAGGCCAUUGCUCCCGGCCUCAUGAUAAAACUUUAAGUAAUUGCUUCUUAUGGAUGAGCAAAGAAAUUGGAAUCUUGAUGCAGAAUGUACUUCUGGUGAAGAUGCCAUGAAUGUUGUUGAAAUGACAACAGAAGGUCUAGAAUAGUCCAUAAACUUAGCUGAGAAAGCAGCAGCAGGAGUUGAGAGGAUUGACUUCAGUUUUGAAAGAAGUUUUACUGUGGAUAAAAUGCUAUCAAAUAACCUCACAUGCUUCAGAUAAAUCUUUUGUGAAAGAAAGAUUCAAUAGAUGCAUAAACUUCAUUUUUUUUAAUUUUAAGAAAUUGCUUUAGCCACCCCAACCUUCAGCAAUCACUACCCUGAUCAAUCAGCAGCCAUCAACAUCAAGGCUAAACCCUCCAUUGGCAAAAAGAUUAUGAUCGCUGAAGGCUCAGAUGAUUAUUAGAGUUUUUAAUUUAAUUUUUUAUUAGCAAUAAAAUAUUUUUAAAUUUAAGGAAUGUACAUUUUUUUAAAGACAUAGUGCUAUUUCAUACUUAGUACUCUACAGUAAUGUAAACACAACUUUUCAAUGUACUGGAAAACAAAACAAACAAAGUCUCAUUUUAUUGUGAUAUUUGCUUUAUUGUGGUGGUCUUGAAAAAAACCCAUAAUAUUUUUGCGAUAUUAUGCCUAUAUGAAUAGAAUUAAAAGCAAAAUAUAUAUACUUAAUGUAUUAUAAAAAAGAAAAAAGAUAAAACAAAUUAUUGAAUAAAUAUAUCUACAUGCAAAAUUUAUCUGUUAAUAUAUGCUGUUUACAAAUAAAUCUACAUAAAAUGAAA
Molecule: long non-coding RNA, 2179 nt
Organism: Homo sapiens (human)
Lineage: Eukaryota; Metazoa; Chordata; Mammalia; Primates; Hominidae
Gene: WDFY3-AS2
Product: WDFY3 antisense RNA 2
Source: Ensembl